This is a long non-coding RNA of Peromyscus californicus insignis, 1351 nucleotides long. RefSeq lists it as uncharacterized. The transcript has 2 exons. The record is from RefSeq and is a predicted model, not a curated record. Lineage: Eukaryota; Metazoa; Chordata; Mammalia; Rodentia; Cricetidae.
CUGCUUUCCCACUUUUGUAGGCUUGGGGCUUGGAGCUGUGGCUCAUAAUGGCCUGCCGAGCUGAUGGUGCUGGGUGGGAGAGAGCAUCCGUAAGAAAAUAAUCCCAAGGGGAAAAAAAAGAUGAACGUUCUUCACCUGACUAAAACUGCGGAAUUUGGCCAGGCAUGGUGGCACACUCCUUGAUUCCAACUACUCCGGAGGCAAAGGCAGGGGGUUUUCUGUGGGUUCGAAGCCAGUCUGUCUGUUCUACAUAGAGAGUUCCAGAACAACAAGAGCUCCAUAGGUAGACCCUUGUCUCAAAAAGGAAAACAAGCCGGGCGGUGGUGGCGCACGCCUUUAAUCCCAGCACUUGGGAGGCAGAGCCAGGUGGAUCUCUGUGAGUUCGAGGCCAGCCUGGGCUACCAAGCGAGUUCCAGGAAAGGCGCAAAACUACACAGAGAAACCCUGUCUCGAAAAACGAAAAAAAAAAAAAAAGGAAAACACAGAGCUAUGGAGACAUGGUUUAGCUGCUAAGCUUUGGCACUUAAGCGCUUAUAUUAUUGCAGAUGGCCAAAGUUUGGCAAAUUUCACAACUGCCUGUAACUAAUUAACAAUUAAAAAUAAAAUCUAGUAAGAUUAACUUUUACAUAUUUUUUCUCUCUCUCUUUCUUUAUUUUAUUUUAUCUUUUGGUUUUUCAAGACAGGGUUUCUCUGUGAAACAGCCCUGGCUGUCCUGGAAGUCACUCUGUACAACAACCUGGCCUCGAACUCACAGGUCCGCCUGCCUCCUGAAUGCUGGGAUUAAAGGCGUGCGCCACCACUGCCCAGCGGAUUCAUUUUAAUUUUAAUUCACCUGCUUGUGUCUGUCUAUGUGAAGGUAUGCUGUGUGUGAGAGGUGACUGAUCUCAGAGUUCAGAAGGCAUCAAUUCCCUGGAGCUGCAGGCACAGGGGCCAGAAGAGGAUGUCUGAUCCCCUGGAACUGGAGUUAUAGUUGUGAGCCUGUUGUAAAUUACUUGAUGGAUGUGAGAACUGGGAACUCAACUCAGGUUCUCUGCAAAAGCAGUGGGUGCUCUUCUUUCAUUUUUUGUGGGCCCUGGCCCCCCACUGUGAGUGGCUGUUGCCUUGCUUGCCGACCUUGACCAGAUGUCCUCCCUAUUCAGAUUCCCUGCCGGUUUCCUUCUCACCUAACGUUCUACCGGAGGUUCUUUGUUCCUGUAUCCUGCAUUUGGUGUAAACAGCUUAGAUGCAAAAAUGUAGCGAACUUCUGCCCUCCGGGGAUCCGCCAUUGUGCUGUAAGCUUGUAUUUAAGGUUUCCUCCCUUUUUCAAUAAACGGCAUUCGGCUGGCACUCGGCAUUCAGCCUUGGCGAAUGA